Molecule: ribosomal RNA, 503 nt
Filed under: uncultured bacterium
Lineage: Bacteria
Description: partial 16S ribosomal RNA
Rfam family: Bacterial small subunit ribosomal RNA
Source: RNAcentral
AUUGAACGCUGGCGGCAGGCUUAACACAUGCAAGUCGAGCGGGGUGAUGGUGCUUGCACUAUCACUUAGCGGCGGACGGGUGAGUAAUGCUUAGGAAUCUGCCUAUUAGUGGGGGACAACAUCUCGAAAGGGAUGCUAAUACCGCAUACGUCCUACGGGAGAAAGCAGGGGAUCACUUGUGACCUUGCGCUAAUAGAUGAGCCUAAGUCGGAUUAGCUAGUUGGUGGGGUAAAGGCCUACCAAGGCGACGAUCUGUAGCGGGUCUGAGAGGAUGAUCCGCCACACUGGGACUGAGACACGGCCCAGACUCCUACGGGAGGCAGCAGUGGGGAAUAUUGGACAAUGGGGGGAACCCUGAUCCAGCCAUGCCGGGUGUGUGAAGAAGGCCCUAUGGUUGUAAAGCACUUUAAGCGAGGAGGAGGCUCUCUUGGUUAAUACCCAAGAUGAGUGGACGUUACUCGCAGAAUAAGCACCGGCUAACUCUGUGCCAGCCGCCGCCGUAA